AAAUACAGUUAAGAAAUAAAUAUUUAUUUACACACGACAUCUGGAAUUAGAGUUGAAUUGGAGCACGGUAAACGAACUAACAUGGUAAAUACACUGAAGUACAAAACAAAAGAGAAAUCAUACAUUGCACAAAACAUGGUGGAAAAAGACGAGGUGUGUAUGAGGAGUGUAUGAGGUGUGUAUGUGGUGUGUAUGAGGUGUGUAUGAGGUGUGUAUGAGGUGUGUUGAGGUGUGUAUGAGUUGUGUAUGAGGUGUGUAUGAGGUGUGUAUGAGUUGUGUAUGUGGUGUGUAUGAGGUGUGUAUGAGGUGUGUAUGAGGUGUGUAUGAGGUGUGUAUGUGGUGUGUAUGAGGAGUGUAUGAGGUGUGUAUGAGGUGUGUAUGAGUUGUGUAUGAGGUGUGUAUGAGGUGUGUAUGAGGUGUGUAUGUGGUGUGUAUGAGGUGUGUAUGAGGUGUGUAUGAGGUGUGUAUGAGGAGUGUAUGAGGUGUGUAUGAGGUGUGUAUGAGGAGUGUAUGUGGUGUGUAUGAGGAGUGUAUGUGGUGUGUAUGAGGAGUGUAUGUGGUGUGUAUGAGGUGUGUAUGUGGUGUGUAUGAGGUGUGUAUGUGGUGUGUAUGAGGUGUGUAUGAGGUGUGUAUGAGGUGUGUAUGAGGAGUGUAUGAGGUGUGUAUGAGGACACAUGAGAGUUGAGUCUUGUGUUUUAAUGCCUUUAAAUUCCCAUCACUGUGGCUGUAGUCGUAGAUUUCAAUAUGAAGU
This is a long non-coding RNA of Ictalurus punctatus (channel catfish), 751 nucleotides long. Lineage: Eukaryota; Metazoa; Chordata; Actinopteri; Siluriformes; Ictaluridae. The record is from Ensembl.